UUGUGCUAAGGUAGCAUAAUCAUUUGUCUUUUAAUUGAAGACUAGAACAAAAGAUUUAACAAUCCAAUUAAUGUAUAAAAUUAAUUAUAUUAAUUUAUUUUAAAUGUAAAAAAACAUUUAUAAUAUAGAAAGACGACAAGACCCUAUUAAACUUAACUAUAGUUAAACUGGGGCAGUUAAUAAAAUAUUAUUUUAAUAAAAAUAAAAUAAAAAAAGAUCCAAUAAAACUGAAUAGAUGAUCAAGUUACUAUAGGGAUAACAGCGUAAUAUUUAUCUAAAGAUCUUAUUUAAAUAAAAGAUUACGACCUCGAUGUUGAAUUAAUAACCUAAAUUAUUGCAGCAAAUAAACAAAGGAAGU
RNAcentral lists this ribosomal RNA (358 nucleotides) under Sanogasta alticola. RNAcentral describes it as "partial 16S ribosomal RNA". The record is from RNAcentral. Lineage: Eukaryota; Metazoa; Arthropoda; Arachnida; Araneae; Anyphaenidae.